This is a non-coding RNA of Lepisosteus oculatus (spotted gar), 581 nucleotides long. Lineage: Eukaryota; Metazoa; Chordata; Actinopteri; Semionotiformes; Lepisosteidae. The record is from RefSeq and is a predicted model, not a curated record.
GUGUUGUUGGUCCUCUGGGUCUAAGAAACAGGAAGGAGUUAUUAUUUAGCAAGAAGUAACAUUUAAUCGGUGUCGCCUUUCUUUGUUAAAAACUCUGAGGCGUCCUUUUAUACUGUAGCUGUAAUCUUUUGUUGUUUGUCUCGUAUUUUGUUCGUCUGAACACGUGAAAUCACGGCGCUAAGUUACACGAGUUGCUGUGGAAACUUUAUUUCUGCUUCAGACACGUUGAGCCUCAGUGAUCGUGAACCUUCGUGCAGAUGAAGAUGAUGAUGAAGCAGACGAUGAUGGUGAAACCCUCAUGUGUCGGAGCGCGUCUUCUAACUGUUACUGGAGAAACAAGACUGAAGCUCAGACCUUUCCAAAGGCUGAGUCCCUGAGCUGUGAGGAUCAUGAGGACCAGCUGGACAGUCCACUGUCCACUCCACAGCCCUGAGGAAGGAGGGAUGGCCUCUGGAGAAUCUGUACCAGCCUCAGGAAUGGACACCGAUAUCAGCUGACUGGUCCUUCACUCCUUCAUUCUGAUAAUUCACUACACUAAUGUACUGUUUUAACAUAAUAAAACACUCCUGAGCAAACUUUUA